GACGAACGCUGGCGGCGUGCCUAAUACAUGCAAGUUGAGCGCUGACGGUUGGUACUUGUACCAACUGGAUGAGCAGCGAACGGGUGAGUAACGCGUGGGGAAUCUGCCUUUGAGCGGGGGACAACAUUUGGAAACGAAUGCUAAUACCGCAUAAAACCUUUAAACACAAGUUUUAAGUUUGAAAGAUGCAAUUGCAUCACUCAAAGAUGAUCCCGCGUUGUAUUAGCUAGUUGGUGAGGUAAAGGCUCACCAAGGCGAUGAUACAUAGCCGACCUGAGAGGGUGAUCGGCCACAUUGGGACUGAGACACGGCCCAAACUCCUACGGGAUGCAGCAGUAGGGAAUCUUCGGCAAUGGACGAAAGUCUGACCGAGCAACGCCGCGUGAGUGAAGAAGGGUUUCGGAUCGUAAAACUCUGUUGGUAGAGAAGAACGUUGGUGAGAGUGGAAAGCUCAUCAAGUGACGGUAACUACCCAGAAAGGGACGGCUAACUACGUG
This 497-nucleotide ribosomal RNA is filed under the name uncultured bacterium. RNAcentral's name for it is "partial 16S ribosomal RNA". It matches the Rfam family "Bacterial small subunit ribosomal RNA", at positions 28 to 507 of the family's 1533-position model. The record is from RNAcentral.